GAACCUGCCUCAAAGAGGGGGACAACNGUUGGAAACGACUGCUGAUACCGCAUAAGCCCACGACCCGGCAUCGGGUAGAGGGAAAAGGAGCAAUCCGCUUUGAGAUGGCCUCGCGUCCGAUUAGCUAGUUGGUGAGGUAAUGGCCCACCAAGGCGACGAUCGGUAGCCGGACUGAGAGGUUGAACGGCCACAUUGGGACUGAGACACGGCCCAGACUCCUACGGGAGGCAGCAGUGGGGAAUAUUGCACAAUGGGGGAAACCCUGAUGCAGCGACGCCGCGUGGAGGAAGAAGGUCUUCGGAUUGUAAACUCCUGUUGUUGAGGAAGAUAAUGACGGUACUCAACAAGGAAGUGACGGCUAACUACGUGCCAGCAGCCGCGGUAAAACGUAGGUCACAAGCGUUGUCCGGAAUUACUGGGUGUAAAGGGAGCGCAGGCGGGAAGACAAGUUGGAAGUGAAAUCCAUGGGCUCAACCCAUGAACUGCUUUCAAAACUGUUUUUCUUGAGUAGUGCAGAGGUAGGCGGAAUUCCCGGUGUAGCGGUGGAAUGCGUAGAUAUCGGGAGGAACACCAGUGGCGAAGGCGGCCUACUGGGCACCAACUGACGCUGAGGCUCGAAAGUGUGGGUAGCAAACAGGAUUAGAUACCCUGGUAGUCCACACUGUAAACGAUGAUUACUAGGUGUUGGAGGAUUGACCCCUUCAGUGCCGCAGUUAACACA
RNAcentral lists this ribosomal RNA (721 nucleotides) under uncultured bacterium. Its description in RNAcentral is "bacterial SSU rRNA". It matches the Rfam family "Bacterial small subunit ribosomal RNA", at positions 122 to 859 of the family's 1533-position model. The record is from RNAcentral.